Molecule: ribosomal RNA, 150 nt
Filed under: Xenuroturris legitima
Lineage: Eukaryota; Metazoa; Mollusca; Gastropoda; Neogastropoda; Turridae
Description: partial large subunit ribosomal RNA
Source: RNAcentral
AUUAAAACAAGUUAUAGAAUAAUAUACUUAAGUUUUUUACAAUCAAAGCAUUAUUAAAUUAAGUAAAGGAGAUUAAAAAUUGUUUUAUACCUCUAAUGAAAGUACUGUGAAGGAAGAACUUUAAUAAUAAAAAAGAAAAAGUUAAUUCUU